GGACUACUGGGGUUUCUAAUCCCGUUCGCUACCCUAGCUUUCGUGCCUCAGCGUCAGAAGAGAUCCAGUGAGCCGCUUUCGCCACCGGUGUUCCUUAGGAUAUCAACGCAUUUCACCGCUCCACCCUAAGUUCCGCUCACCUCUAUCUCCCUCGAGCACGGUAGUUUAGAGCGCAGUUCCUCGGUUAAGCCGAGGGAUUUCACACCCUACUUUCCGCGCAGCCUACGCACCCUUUAAGCCCAGUGAUUCCGAAUAACGUUCGGACGGUUCGUCUUACCGCGGCUGCUGGCAC
This 292-nucleotide ribosomal RNA is filed under the name uncultured bacterium. RNAcentral describes it as "partial 16S ribosomal RNA". RNAcentral also lists the same sequence under 2 other names. The record is from RNAcentral.